CCUUCCCAAAUCCCUUAGCAAAUGUAUGCAAUGGGCCUGGGGGUGCUUUUGCUGGGUCGAAGUAUUGGGUCUGGCAAGUCAAGCAACAUUCCAUAGUUCAUAAAAUGCUCUUUCUUCUCGGUUUCUAUUUUCCGAGAGACAGACAUUCGGAGCGACGAAGAAAAGGAAAAACCAGAAGAAUCAAAGAUGAAGAAAAUGGAGUUUACUAACUGGGCCACCUAUUGUGCUGGGUGCUAUCCUUGGUACAAUCGUCGUCGUCAAUCUUCUCUUCGUCCAGAAUCCACGUGUCUUAUUCUUUUCAAUACACAUAAGUCUAUUGACUUAUUCGAUGAAGACCUUUGUUCUCUUACAUCCCCCUCAAGUUGGAGGGUAUAGAAGUUGCCCCCAACUUGCUAAGAAUGGAGUGGUGAGAAGGACCACAAAGGGAUUUGGUAAAGAUAUCGGCAAGCUGUGAAACAGAGGGAAUAUAAUAGAGUGUGAUGAGGCCGGAAAUGUACUGUUGGCGGACAAAAUGGUAGUCCAACUCAACGUGUUUCGUCCGCUCGUGAAAGAUGGAGUUUCUUACGAUGUGAAUCGUUGAUUUGCUGUCAGAAAGUACAAGAACCGGCAAUGAUGGUGAAAUAGAAAGAUCUUCAAAGAACCUGGUGAUUCAAGUUAGCUCUGCAACAAUACGUCUCAUGGAUCUGUACUCCGCUUCGGCUGAUGAUAGAGAAAGAGAAGCUUAUUUUAUUCGAUUUCCAUGAGGCAUGGGAUCCACCAAAAGAAAUAUAAAAUCCACUCAUAGAGCGUCUUGUUUCCAGGUAAGAGGCCCAAUCUUCAUCGCAAAAAGAAAACAAUUUGAGAAAAGGUGCUGAAUUAAAGAGAAUCCCUUGACCUGGGUCGGUUUGAAGAUAGCGGAGAACAUUUAUAGCUGCAGUAUAAUACGAAAGUCAGGGACUUUGCAUAAAUUUGCUAAUUUUAAGAAUAGCAAAGGACAAAUCGGGUCUCGUAUGGGUUAAAUAAUUCAAUUUUCCAACGAGAUGUCGAUAAACGGUAGGAUUUGAAAGAAAGGGUCUGUGGUCUGCAUGAAGCUUGGUAGAAGGCUCAAAAGGAGAAGCCACAGAAGAAGAAUCAGACAUAUCAAACUCACGCAAUAGUAUAAUUUGGCACCAUUGGAUUGGCCAAAUCUGUGUUCCAAGCUGAUCCAGAGCUCUCUAGCAGAAUUAGAGUAUAUAACACUGUCUCCAAUAUCUUUGGAUAAGGAGUUCAACAACCAAGAUGUAACCAUAUCAUUGCAUCGUGACCAAGGUUGAUAAUCCUUGAAAGUGAUAGGAGGAGAUGCAAAUGUUCCAUUGAUGAAGCCCACCUUGUUCUUUGCUGAAAGAGCUAUAAGGAUAAAUCUCUUCCAUCCCUGAAAACCCCUUCUAUCAUAUAUAAUAUUGACAAGCCUCAUGCCUGGUACAUCAUAAGAGUGAAGGAAAUAGGGAUGAUUGAGAUCGAGAUUGACCCCAUUUCCAGUUGAGGUUUGAGCCACAAAAGUUUCAGUGGAAUCAGGCAUAAUGAAGAAUAUAGAUGACUGAGAAUGAUGAUUUCAGAUUACCCAAAAUCGAGCUAGAUUUGCUCUGAUACCAUGAAAUAUUAAGAUAAAGAAUUGUAAAAUUUUGUGUAUAGAUCUCUAUCAAAGACAAUGUUUAUAUACAAAUAUCCUAUUGUAAAAUAAAAUAUAAAAAUGAAUUUCUGUACACUUGUCCUAUUUUAUUAGCUAAGUAUAACUAACUCUAACAGAUUUUAUUCCUCUAGAAACAUCUACAAAAUUUAACAGUUGUACCAAUUUUAAUCUGGACGAUUGUCUUUUAAUCUAUCAAAUUUGUGACCAACGUCCUUGAUGCAGCCGUGUGUCUUAUUCUUUUCCACACACAUAAGUCUAUUGACUUUCGAUGUAUCCGAUGAGUGUUGUGUCUGAGACUCUUCUUCUUUCUUCUUCCUCUCUUCUUCUUUGAGAAAAUUCGAUGAAGACCUCUGUUCUCUUACAUUCACUUGAUUCAAUAAUCUAAUUUGACUCCUAUUUAGGAGCUUGAUUACGAGUUUCCCAGUUGCCAAAAUGCAAAAUAUUGAUUGAUUUUCAGAUUCGAGCUGAUCGGAGUUGGAAAAAUUGAGGGAAAGGCCUUUGUAUUGAUUGAUUGAGCGAGGUUUGAGAUGGAAACAACGACUUCAAAAGUAGAGGUGAAAGUUCUUUCAACUACAUAGAAACUUCCUCAAUUAGAAGGUAACAACACUCUUGUUGCCGAUUCAAGUAUAUUCACACCUCCUAAAAAGCAUAAAAGAACAACUCCUUCUGAAAAUAAUUCUAGUAUCGGUAAUGGAAGGGAAACAUCUGAAAUUUGGAAACACUUUACCAAAUUUAUAGAUAAAGAUGGUAAGUGGAAGGCGAAAUAUCAUUUUUGUAGUCAAAGCUAUUGUUCUGAUAGUAAGAGAAAUAGGACAACUACAUUAUGGAACCAUCUAACUGGUAUUUAUAAAAAAAUCCCCUUUUAGAUUCAUUGAUAGGAAGCAAUCGACAAUUAGGCCUAUUCCUAUUAAGGAGGGGGACAAGGAGGUACUAAUGAUACUUGUAAGCUGGAAAAAAUUGUGUACAAUGUCAAUAAAGUGAGAAAAGCUAUUGCUGAAUUUGUAAUCAUUGAUGAACAACCUUUUAAAGUCAUUGAUUUUAAGAAAUUGAUGUCAGUUGUUUUGCCUAACUUUGAGUUGCCCUCUCAUUUGACUGUUACUAGGCAGUGUUUGAAAAUUUAUCACGAAGAAAAAGAAAAUCUUAGAAAGUUUAUCCAGAACUAACAUGUAUGUCUCACUAGUGAUACAUGGACAUUACUCUAGAACCUAAUUUAUAUGGUUAUAAAUUCUCACUGGAUUGAUGAUAACUGGAAGUUACAGAAGAAAAUUCUUAACUUUUUUCAAGUUCCAGAUUAUAAGGGUGAAACGAUUGCAAAGGGGAUUGAGGCUUUUCUGUUAGAUUGGGGGAUUGAAAAACCAUUCAUUGUGACCCUAGAUAAUGCAAGUGUGAAUGAUGCUGCGAUUAGACACUUGAAGGGGAGGAUUGAGGAUUAGAAAGGAAUCAUCUUGAGAAAUAACUUUCUACAUGUAAGAUGUAAUGCUCACAUUCUGAAUUUAAUUGUAAAAUAAGGGUUAAAUGAUCAUAAUGAAUCCAUUACUCAUUUCAGGAAUGUUGUAAAGUAUGUUAAGUCAUCUCCUGCAAGAUUUGCUUCCUUUAAGUCAUUUGUUGAAAAGGUAAAGAUAGAGAGCCAUGGUCUUUUGAGUUUAGAUGUUGAAACUAGGUGUAACUCGAUAUAUAUGAUAUUGAGUGCAGCUAUUAAAUUUGAAAAAGCCUUUUCAAGAAUGUAUAUUGAUGAUCAUAAGUACCAAAAGCAUUUUACAGAAAUGAUUGGAAGAGGCAGGCAUCCAAAUGGGGAUGAUUGGAAGAAGGUAAAAGAUUUUAUAAAGUUUCUUGACAUUUUCUACCAGAUUACUCUGAAAUUUUCGGGGACUCUGCAUGUUACUUCAAAUUCUUUCUGCCAUGAGCUUUUUAAUCUUCUUAAUUUUAUUACAAAUAAUUCUCAUGGUGAUGAUUCAAUUUUGAUUGAUAUGGCUGAUAAGAUGAAAGUCAAGUUUGAAAAAUAUUGGGGUGACUUUGAUAAUAUGAACAUAUUAUUAUUUGUCGUUGUUGUGUUGGAUCCCAGAUAUAAAAUAAAAUAUGUGAACUUCAUCUUUGCCAAAUCUUAUGAUCCUUUGGUGGAAAAUUUAAGGUCAACAAGGGUGAUGAAUAUUUUAUCUCGCUUGUAUGAUUACUAUAAAGAUUCUUCUUCUCGAACUUCUGAUGAGAAUCUGGGAAGUCCAUUUAGAAUGAUGAGUGAAAGUGAGAAUGGUGAGAUAUGGCACUCAUAAUGGGAAAAAUAUGUGCAAGAGGAAGAUGAUGGUGGAAAUAAAAAUGAUCUUGACAGGUACUUGAUGGACGAUUUGGAGUUGACCAAACAUUUAGAUAUCUUGGCAUAGUAAAAAGAUGCAAGUAAGAGGUAUCCAAUUAUUUCUAGGAUUGCAAGAGAUGUGCUUGCAAUUCCUAUUUCUAUCGUAGCAUCUUAAUCGGCUUUCAGCAUCGGUGGACGGAUUCUUGAUUCGUAUCGAAGUUCUUUGUCGCCAAAGACGGUAGAAGCUUUAAUUUGCACUCAACAAUGGUUGAGGUCAACUCCUAAAAAAUGCAUUGUUGAAGAUAUUCUAGAGAAAAUUCAAAAGCUUGAAAUGGUUGAGAAAGAAUACUCCGACAGUGUUUUGAGCAUUGAUUAACUUGGAUGAUGGAACCAACUUCAACUAUAUCCUUGUUGCUUGAAAUUUCGGAUGUAAUCUUGAUAUCAUUGUUUUAGUUUACCAUAUGAAAGACUGAGUAUUCUAUUAUGCCUUUAUUAUUGUAAUGUCUUUUGUGAAUUUUUUGAUGUCAUCUUUCUAAAGAUGGUGUUGGAAUAUUGGUGUUAACGGUUGACACUUGACAGUACAUGAAAUCAAAGAGUAUUUGAAUGUA
Long non-coding RNA from Nicotiana tabacum (common tobacco), 4543 nucleotides. RefSeq lists it as uncharacterized. The record is from RefSeq and is a predicted model, not a curated record. Lineage: Eukaryota; Viridiplantae; Streptophyta; Magnoliopsida; Solanales; Solanaceae.